UACAGAGGUCUCAAGCGUUGUUCGGAUUCAUUGGGCGUAAAGGGUGCGUAGGUGGCGCUGUAAGUCGGGUGUGAAAUUUCGGAGCUUAACUCCGAAACUGCAUUCGAUACUGCGGUGCUUGAGGACUGGAGAGGAGACUGGAAUUCAUGGUGUAGCAGUGAAAUGCGUAGAGAUCAUGAGGAAGACCAGUGGCGAAGGCGGGUCUCUGGACAGUUCCUGACACUGAGGCACGAAGGCCAGGGAGCAAACGGG
RNAcentral lists this ribosomal RNA (252 nucleotides) under uncultured bacterium. RNAcentral describes it as "partial 16S ribosomal RNA". It matches the Rfam family "Bacterial small subunit ribosomal RNA", at positions 524 to 776 of the family's 1533-position model. The record is from RNAcentral.